Molecule: non-coding RNA, 1056 nt
Organism: Maylandia zebra (zebra mbuna)
Lineage: Eukaryota; Metazoa; Chordata; Actinopteri; Cichliformes; Cichlidae
Source: RefSeq, a predicted model, not a curated record
GCAGAUCCGACUCUUCACUGCGAAGCCUCCGAUUGUGCCAUCUCAGCAGCUCCUGGUGUCCGUGAAUUCGGAGGCGAGGAGGUGGAGUUCAUCUGGCGUAAUAAAAGUAAGCUGGGAGGAAAAUGUGACAGAUGUGGAGGCAUGUGCCAACGAGAAAAGCGAGAGUGGGACUGUCAGACAUGUCGACUCCGGCGUGGUGAUGGAUGAAGAGUGAGAGCUCAAAGACGACCCGGUCAUGGAGCUUGGAAAAGAAAGCGCCUGGACUUCUUUAAGUUUCUUCUUCGGUCAUAAGACCAUAUGCUGAAGAGACCCAGGUAUUUAAGCCCUAGUGGGAGCUGUCUCUUAUGGAGGGUCAUUGACCCACUAUUGAUUAUGUGCCUCAUCACAUGGUGUGAAAAACGGUGUGGGCCAAUAUCCUUAGAUUUGUUCUAUAACAGUUUGAGCAACAGAAGUACUUGGGUAGAAUUAAGAAAGGAUCAUUGUUUGGGGUAAAUUGACAGUAUACUGUUAUGUUAACCACAUAUUAUAACUUUCGUAUUUGUGUUUAUAUCUGCAUGUCUUGCUAGCGUGAUUUGUCUGACUGUGUCUUGUUUUCGUGCUAGUUCAGUGAUGACUUUGUGCUUUACAAAUGUGAGAGUUAAAUAUGGCUCUGUUAUAUAUUUCAUAAAAGCCAGCAGGCAAAGGUGUCUAAGAAGAGAUCGGUGCAUAUUAAUGGCUGUCCAGCAUAACAGUUAUCUGUGUGGUGACCAGUCUAGGGGUGUGGCUAAAGGGGGAGGGGACUGCAGUGGUAAGGACUGAAGAAAGUGUUUGUCAGGGAACAACAGUGUUGUCCUGCUCAAUCCAUUAUUGUAAAUAUAAAGUUACAUAUACAAGUUGUUGAAAUGUAGGCCAAGUUUUAACAGGUCUGAGGUUUAUUUUUAUAAAAAUGUCUGAGUUUUCAUAGACAGUCUGACAAGUUUUGGGUCGGCCCAAGUGGUGGGAAAAAUCCUAUUAUGUCAAACAAGUAAUAUUGUUAUUUAUUUUUAAUAUUAACCUAAUUUUUAAUAGAAAGAACAA